RNAcentral lists this transfer RNA (59 nucleotides) under Amblyomma testudinarium. RNAcentral describes it as "tRNA-Arg". Lineage: Eukaryota; Metazoa; Arthropoda; Arachnida; Ixodida; Ixodidae. The record is from RNAcentral.
AAAUAAAGCGAUAAUUUGCAUUCAGUUUCGGCCUGAAUUUAGAAAAAAAUUUCUAUUUU